AUAAAUGAGAAUGAAAUUGUAAGGGUUAGAAUGAAAAUAAGUGGUGAAUGUUGUAUAUUUGGAUGCUUAAUGAUGUGUGUAAUGGAAUAAGACAUAAUUGAAUUCAAUGAAAUAAAAAUAAAACGAGUUUAAAAUCUAUGCACCGACAGUGUAAAAGUCAGCACAUCAUCUACCAUUGAUUGUAAUACUUUUGUUUGAAAGUCAAUGAUAGUUAACAUAUGAAUGAUGAAGAUUCGCUGACAGUGUAAAAAUACUUAUACUAUCAAUGCAUACAUAUUAAACACAAAUAAAAUUAUCAUUAUCAUUUUUUUUUGGACAUUUUAUAAUCAAUAUGUACAUACACCUAACUUCUUUUUCUGGAUAAGAAAUGAGCUAAAUGCAAUUUUUUAGAGUAAAGAUCUAUUUUGAUAUACCAAUUUGGUACUAAAAAUUUGAAAAAACUCAAAAUUGGUCCCCAACUACAUCAAAUAUAGGUAAAAGGUCAAAUUAGUCUUUUUAACAUUUUUAUCUACCGUAACGAUUAUUUUGACUCACCUUUACAAUAUUUGGUACUAGUUUGAGUUUUUACUUUUUCUGAGAUCAAAUCGGUAGAUUGAGAAAUACAAUGAGUCCGAGCAUAGAAGUAUAUAUAUCUAACCUAAACUGCUAAUGUAGUUUUUUGUUGUUAUAAUGGAAUGAAGUUAAAACUAAGUUGAUUUCAUCUUAUUUCAUCCCCACCCCAUGCAUAAAAGUUUGGAAAAUAACAAAAAUAAGAUACCG
This 759-nucleotide long non-coding RNA is filed under the name Lupinus angustifolius (narrow-leaved blue lupine). Its description in RNAcentral is "long non-coding RNA (LANG_LNC002479)". The record is from RNAcentral. Lineage: Eukaryota; Viridiplantae; Streptophyta; Magnoliopsida; Fabales; Fabaceae.